ACUAUUUAAACACUAAUAAUGUGUGUGUUUUAUUUUAUGUGGGACCUCCACGCUUUAUUUUUUUCAAUUCACACAACACUGGAUCAAAGUUUAAUAAAUUGGUGUUUAAUCUUCCAACCUUCCAAUUUCUUUCCAUCUUCACACCAAUGUUCCAACAUAAACGGUGUUGUGUGUUUCGUUUCCCUAAUGAUGUGUCGCAUGCGUAACAAAGUUUUAUAGUUGUAUCGGCUGUUUGUCACAUUCAUAACAGACGUUUCAGUAUAAUUUUUCAUUUCACUCUAAAAACAUGUAAAAACGAUAUCAGUAGUCACCUAUA
This 316-nucleotide long non-coding RNA is filed under the name Medicago truncatula (barrel medic). RNAcentral's name for it is "long non-coding RNA (MTRU_LNC000804)". The record is from RNAcentral. Lineage: Eukaryota; Viridiplantae; Streptophyta; Magnoliopsida; Fabales; Fabaceae.